RNAcentral lists this ribosomal RNA (253 nucleotides) under uncultured bacterium. RNAcentral's name for it is "partial 16S ribosomal RNA". It matches the Rfam family "Bacterial small subunit ribosomal RNA", at positions 524 to 776 of the family's 1533-position model. The record is from RNAcentral.
UACGAAGGGGGCUAGCGUUGCUCGGAAUCACUGGGCGUAAAGGGUGCGUAGGCGGGUCUUUAAGUCAGGGGUGAAAUCCUGGAGCUCAACUCCAGAACUGCCUUUGAUACUGAGGAGCUCGAGUCCGGGAGAGGUGAGUGGAACUGCGAGUGUAGAGGUGAAAUUCGUAGAUAUUCGCAAGAACACCAGUGGCGAAGGCGGCUCACUGGCCCGGUACUGACGCUGAGGUGCGAAAGCGUGGGGAGCGAACAGG